ACGGGGGAUGCAAGCGUUAUCCCGGAAUCAUUGGGCGUAAAGCGCCUGUAGGUUGUUUAAUAAGUCUGUGUUAAAGACUAGGGCUUAACCNUAGAAAAGCAAUGGAAACUACUAGACUAGAGUAUGGCAGGGGUAGAGGGAAUUUCUAGUGUAGCGGUGAAAUGCGUAGAUAUUAGAAAGAACACCGGUGGGCGAAAGCGCUCUACUGGACCAUUACUGACACUCAGAGGCGAAAGCUAGGGUAGCAAAAGGGGAUUAGAUACCCCUGUAGUCCUAGCCGUAAACGAUGGAUACUAGAUGUUGUGCAUCAUGUACAGUAUCGUAGCUAACGCGUUAAGUAUCCCGCCUGGGGAGUACGCUCGCAAGGGUGAAACUCAAAGGAAUUGACGGGGGCCCGCACAAGCGGUGGAGCAUGUGGUUUAAUUCGAUGCAACGCGAAGAACCUUACCAGGACUUGACAUACUACAAAUUCUUUUGAGAAAAAGAAGUGCCUUCGGGAAUGUAGAUACAGGUGGUGCAUGGCUGUCGUCAGCUCGUGUCGUGAGAUGUUGGGUUAAGUCCCGCAACGAGCGCAACCCUUAUUUUUAGUUACCAAUUCGUUGGGUUCUCUAGAAAGACUGCCGGUGACAAACCGGAGGAAGGUGAGGAUGACGUCAAGUCAGCAUGCCCCUUAUGUCCUGGGCUACACACGUGCUACAAUGGUUAAGACAAAGAGUUGCGAGCUCGCAAGGGUCAGCUAAUCUCAUAAACUUAGCCUAAGUUCAGAUUGUAGGCUGCAACUCGCCUACAUGAAGUUGGAAUCGCUAGUAAUCGCUGGUCAGCCAUACAGCGGUGAAUCCGUUCCCGGGCCUUGUACACACCGCCCGUCACACCAUGGGAGCUGGUCAUACCCAAAACCGUUUGCUUAACCAUUUGGAGAGCGGCGUCUAAGGUAGGGCUAGUGACUGGGGUGAAGUCGUAACAAGGUAACCGUA
This 974-nucleotide ribosomal RNA is filed under the name uncultured bacterium. RNAcentral's name for it is "bacterial SSU rRNA". It matches the Rfam family "Bacterial small subunit ribosomal RNA", at positions 525 to 1504 of the family's 1533-position model. The record is from RNAcentral.